GAACUCUGGUAUUGAUUGGUGCUUGCAUCAUGAUUUACAUUUGAGUGAGUGGCGAACUGGUGAGUAACACGUGGGAAACCUGCCCAGAAGCGGGGGAUAACACCUGGAAACAGAUGCUAAUACCGCAUAACAACUUGGACCGCAUGGUCCGAGUUUGAAAGAUGGCUUCGGCUAUCACUUUUGGAUGGUCCCGCGGCGUAUUAGCUAGAUGGUGGGGUAACGGCUCACCAUGGCAAUGAUACGUAGCCGACCUGAGAGGGUAAUCGGCCACAUUGGGACUGAGACACGGCCCAAACUCCUACGGGAGGCAGCAGUAGGGAAUCUUCCACAAUGGACGAAAGUCUGAUGGAGCAACGCCGCGUGAGUGAAGAAGGGUUUCGGCUCGUAAAACUCUGUUGUUAAAGAAGAACAUAUCUGAGAGUAACUGUUCAGGUAUUGACGGUAUUUAACCAGAAAGCCACGGCUAACUACGUGCCAGCAGCCGCGGUAAUACGUAGGUGGCAAGCGUUGUCCGGAUUUAUUGGGCGUAAAGCGAGCGCAGGCGGUUUUUUAAGUCUGAUGUGAAAGCCUUCGGCUCAACCGAAGAAGUGCAUCGGAAACUGGGAAACUUGAGUGCAGAAGAGGACA
Molecule: ribosomal RNA, 627 nt
Filed under: Lactiplantibacillus pentosus
Lineage: Bacteria; Bacillati; Bacillota; Bacilli; Lactobacillales; Lactobacillaceae
Description: bacterial SSU rRNA
Rfam family: Bacterial small subunit ribosomal RNA
Source: RNAcentral